CCUCCCACUUUUUCCAUCUUUUCAAUCCCUUUCCCAUUCAUUUAUUUUCGGCUUGGAGCAGAGAGCUCCUCCUUCUCUCUCUCCCUUCUUCCCUCUCUGUCUCUGUCUCUCUCCUCCUAUUUUUUCUCCAUUAUUGGCUGAAACUUUAAGUUUAGAGUGAGAGUCUUUAGAGGGAGAUUUUACAAAAAUGUUGUAAAUGAAAGUCGGAAAGCUCGUUGUGAUCUUCCCAAUGGUGGUCUCGGAUCCAUGAUCGGGCGAUAUUUACAUUUUCAGAUUUGCUUUUCUUCAUAUUUGAGGGAAUGCUUUUCAGAUUUGAAGAUCAAACAAUGAGUUUUAUCAUUUCAUAAGUGUAAUGUAUUGAUAGAUUGUACUACUUCAUUUGUUUGUUUGGCUAAAUGCUAUCUUUUUGUAAGGAGUGGUGUUCUUUUUUUUAUUCUAAGCCUCUGGGCAAUUCUUUUAUUUGUAUGUAAAUGUCCUUGCUGUAUAACGAGAGGGAACAUGUAUAUUUAAUUAUUCAUCUUUUCAUCCAAGGAUGAGUUGUCA
Molecule: long non-coding RNA, 543 nt
Organism: Camellia sinensis
Lineage: Eukaryota; Viridiplantae; Streptophyta; Magnoliopsida; Ericales; Theaceae
Source: RefSeq, a predicted model, not a curated record